AGUGAACGCUGGCGGUAGGCCUAACACAUGCAAGUCGAACGGCAGCACAGUAAGAGCUUGCUCUUACGGGUGGCGAGUGGCGGACGGGUGAGGAAUACAUCGGAAUCUACUUUUUCGUGGGGGAUAACGUAGGGAAACUUACGCUAAUACCGCAUACGACCUACGGGUGAAAGCAGGGGAUCUUCGGACCUUGCGCGAUUGAAUGAGCCGAUGUCGGAUUAGCUAGUUGGCGGGGUAAAGGCCCACCAAGGCGACGAUCCGUAGCUGGUCUGAGAGGAUGAUCGGCGACACUGGAGCUGGGACACGGUCCAGGCUCCUACGGGAGGCAGCAGUGGGGAAUAUUGGACAAUGGGCGCAAGCCUGAUCCAGCCGUACCGCGUGGGUGAAGAAGGCCUUCGGGUUGUAAAGCCCUUUUGUUGGGAAAGAAAAGCAGCAGGUUAAUACCCCGCUGUUCUGACGGUACCCAAAGAAUAAGCACCGGCUAACUUCGUG
RNAcentral lists this ribosomal RNA (492 nucleotides) under uncultured bacterium. Its description in RNAcentral is "partial 16S ribosomal RNA". It matches the Rfam family "Bacterial small subunit ribosomal RNA", at positions 29 to 507 of the family's 1533-position model. The record is from RNAcentral.